RNAcentral lists this ribosomal RNA (468 nucleotides) under uncultured bacterium. Its description in RNAcentral is "partial 16S ribosomal RNA". It matches the Rfam family "Bacterial small subunit ribosomal RNA", at positions 28 to 507 of the family's 1533-position model. The record is from RNAcentral.
GACGAACGCUGGCGGCGUGCUUAACACAUGCAAGUCGAACGGAAAGGCCCUGCUUUUGUGGGGUGCUCGAGUGGCGAACGGGUGAGUAACACGUGAGUAACCUGCCCUUGACUUUGGGAUAACUUCAGGAAACUGGGGCUAAUACCGGAUAGGAGCUCCUGCUGCAUGGUGGGGGUUGGAAAGUUUCGGCGGUUGGGGAUGGACUCGCGGCUUAUCAGCUUGUUGGUGGAGUAGUGGCUUACCAAGGCUUUGACGGGUAGCCGGCCUGAGAGGGUGACCGGCCACAUUGGGACUGAGAUACGGCCCAGACUCCUACGGGAGGCAGCGGUGGGGAAUAUUGCACAAUGGGCGGAAGCCUGAUGCAGCAACGCCGCGUGCGGGAUGACGGCCUUCGGGUUGUAAACCGCUUUCGCCUGUGACGAAGCGUGAGUGACGGUAAUGGGUAAAGAAGCACCGGCUAACUACGUG